CCUACGGGGGGCAGCAGUGAGGAAUAUUGGUCAAUGGGCGCGAGCCUGAACCAGCCAAGUAGCGUGAAGGAUGACUGCCCUACGGGUUGUAAACUUCUUUUAUAAAGGAAUAAAGUGAGGCACGUGUGCCUUUUUGUAUGUACUUUAUGAAUAAGGAUCGGCUAACUCCGUGCCAGCAGCCGCGGUAAUACGGAGGAUCCGAGCGUUAUCCGGAUUUAUUGGGUUUAAAGGGAGCGUAGAUGGGUUGUUAAGUCAGCUGUGAAAGUUUGCGGCUCAACCGUAAAAUUGCAAUUGAUACUGGCAGCCUUGAGUACGGUUGACGUAGGCGGAAUUCGUGGUGUAGCGGUGAAAUGCUUAGAUAUCACGAAGAACUCCGAUUGCGAAGGCAGCUUACUAAACUGCCACUGACAUUGAUGCUCGAAGGUGUGGUUAUCAAACAGGAUUAGAUACCCUAGUAGUC
Molecule: ribosomal RNA, 460 nt
Filed under: uncultured bacterium
Lineage: Bacteria
Description: partial 16S ribosomal RNA
Rfam family: Bacterial small subunit ribosomal RNA
Source: RNAcentral